GCCACAGCUUAGUGGUAGAGCAACUGCUUUGCGUGCAGAAGGUCCCAGGUUCAAUCCUUGGUGUCUCCA
This is a non-coding RNA of Podarcis lilfordi (Lilford's wall lizard), 69 nucleotides long. The record is from the annotation of a GenBank genome assembly. Lineage: Eukaryota; Metazoa; Chordata; Lepidosauria; Squamata; Lacertidae.